GGUCCGUUGGUGUAACGGCCAACACUACCUAUCCUGGCGUGUAUCCGUGUUGGACGCGGUGUCACGGUGGGGCGGAAGUUACCGGUUCGAAUCCGGUACGGGCCA
Molecule: non-coding RNA, 105 nt
Organism: Neurospora hispaniola
Lineage: Eukaryota; Fungi; Ascomycota; Sordariomycetes; Sordariales; Sordariaceae
Source: the annotation of a RefSeq genome assembly